UCGAUUGAUCCUGGCUCAGGAUGAACGCUAGCGGCAGGCUUAACACAUGCAAGUCGAGGGGCAGCACAAGAUUGCUUGCAAUCUGGUGGCGACCGGCGCACGGGUGCGUAACGCGUAUACAAUCUACCUUAUAGAGGGGGAUAGCCCAGAGAAAUUUGGAUUAAUACCCCAUAGUAUUAUAGAACAGCAUUGUUUUAUGAUUAAACAUUUAUGGCUAUAAGAUGAGUAUGCGUUCUAUUAGCUUGAUGGUAAGGUAACGGCUUACCAUGGCUACGAUAGAUAGGGGUCCUGAGAGGGAGAUCCCCCACACUGGUACUGAGACACGGACCAGACUCCUACGGGAGGCAGCAGUGAGGAAUAUUGGACAAUGGGCGAGAGCCUGAUCCAGCCAUGCCGCGUGCAGGAAGACGGCCCUAUGGGUUGUAAACUGCUUUUAUACAGGAAGAAACACUCCCUCGUGAGGGAGCUUGACGGUACUGUAAGAAUAAGGAUCGGCUAACUCCGUGCCAGCAGCCGCGGUAAUACGGAGGAUCCAAGCGUUAUCCGGAAUCAUUGGGUUUAAAGGGUCCGUAGGCGGGAUAAUAAGUCAGCGGUGAAAGUCUGUGGCUCAACCAUAGAAUUGCCAUUGAUACUGUUGUUCUUGAGUGUUUAUGAAGUGGUUAGAAUAUGUAGUGUAGCGGUGAAAUGCAUAGAUAUUACUCAGAAUACCGAUUGCGAAGGCAGAUCACUAAUAAUACACUGACGCUGAUGGACGAAAGCGUAGGUAGCGAACAGGAUUAGAUACCCUGGUAGUCUACGCCGUAAACGAUGGUUACUAGCUGUUCGGUACGAUUGAGUACUGAGUGGCUAAGCGAAAGUGAUAAGUAACCCACCUGGGGAGUACGUUCGCAAGAAUGAAACUCAAAGGAAUUGACGGGGGCCCGCACAAGCGGUGGAGCAUGUGGUUUAAUUCGAUGAUACGCGAGGAACCUUACCAAGGCUUAAAUG
Molecule: ribosomal RNA, 987 nt
Filed under: uncultured Bacteroidota bacterium
Lineage: Bacteria; Pseudomonadati; Bacteroidota
Description: bacterial SSU rRNA
Rfam family: Bacterial small subunit ribosomal RNA
Source: RNAcentral